UCAUCUGAACAACAGACAGAUUGGCAGGAAAGGCCUGUCAGCCCUUCGCUCCUGCCACUCCGAGCAGGAGCAACAAAGAGCCCCGAUCCAUGCAAAUAAACCCGCUGGCUGCCUGGAUGCAAGUGCUGUCCCAAGCCCCCCAUGCUGUAUGAGGUGGGAAACCUCCGGCAGCAGUGCUGCAGGCCAAGAUAUCUCCAACGUGAGCUAGUCACCCAAAGAUUCCCUUUCUGAGGGCACAGGUCACAGCCGUGGAAUGUCCCAACCCAGAGGGUCCCCCGAUGUCUGUGAAACGCAAAGAUGCUCCCUUCCACCAGAUUAAACGCAACACAACGAGCAGCACAGAAAGAGAGGAACUCAGGGACUGUGUGUACGCAUACCGGGGAUGGAUAAACUGAAGCUGACUCCGGUC
This is a long non-coding RNA of Dromaius novaehollandiae (emu), 409 nucleotides long. RefSeq lists it as uncharacterized. The record is from RefSeq and is a predicted model, not a curated record. The transcript has 3 exons. NCBI's taxonomy places the organism in Eukaryota, Metazoa, Chordata, Aves, Casuariiformes, Dromaiidae.